RNAcentral lists this ribosomal RNA (1477 nucleotides) under human gut metagenome. Its description in RNAcentral is "bacterial LSU rRNA". It matches the Rfam family "Bacterial large subunit ribosomal RNA", at positions 498 to 1991 of the family's 2925-position model. The record is from RNAcentral.
GUACUGUGAAGGAAAGGUGAAAAGGACCCCGGGAGGGGAGUGAAAAAGAACCUGAAACCUUGUGCUUACAAACAGUGGGAGGAAGGAAACUUCUGACUGCGUACUUUUUGUAGAACGGUCCGGCGAGUUACUGUUGCCAGCGAGGUUAAAUACUAAGAAGGUAUGGAGCCGAAGGGAAACCAAGUCUGAAAAGGGCGAGAAGAGUUAGUAACAGUAGACCCGAAACCGGGUGACCUACCCAUGUCCAGGUUGAAGUUACCGUAAAAGGUAAUGGAGGACCGAACACACGUCUGUUGAAAAAGGCGGUGAUGAGGUGUGGGUAGCGGAGAAAUUCCAAUCGAACUCGGAGAUAGCUGGUUCUCCUCGAAAUAGCUUUAGGGCUAGCCUUGAUAGAAGUCUAACGGAGGUAAAGCACUGAAUCGUCGCGGGUCCCCAAAAGGAUACCAACAUGUAUCAAACUAAGAAUGCCGUCAAGAUAUCAUCAGGAGUCAGACUACGUGAGAUAAGUCUCGUGGUCAAAAGGGAAAGAGCCCAGACCGACAGCUAAGGUCCCAAAGUGUGUGUUAAGUGGAAAAGGAUGUGGGAUUUCGAAGACAACUAGGAUGUUGGCUUAGAAGCAGCCAUACAUUUAAAGAGUGCGUAAUAGCUCACUAGUCGAGAAAACCUGCGCCGAAAAUGUAACGGGGCUAAAACACGACACCGAAGCUACGGAUUUCCUACUAGGUAGGAAGUGGUAGAGGAGCAUCCUGCAAGGACGAAGCCAAAGUGAGAGCGAUGGUGGACGAAACAGGAGAGAGAAUGCCGGAAUGAGUAGCGAGAUACAUGUGAGAAACAUGUAGGCCGAAUAUCUAAGGAUUCCUGGGUAAAGCUAAUCUUCCCAGGGUUAGUCGGGGCCUAAGGCGAGGACGAGAGUCGUAGUCGAUGGAUAACAGGUUGAUAUUCCUGUACUACACAUAAUCAGAACUGUGGGGACGCAGGAGGAUAGGGAAACCGGGGAAUGGAAAGACCCGGUCAAGCGCAAAGCUGUGGGAGAUAGGCAAAUCCGUCUCCUGUAAGUGAAGCGUGAUGAGGACUGAAAAAAAGUAAGGAAGUUUCCGAAUCCACACUGCCGAGAAAAGCCGCUAUUGCGUUAUGUGUACCCGUACCGUAAACCGACACAGGUAGAUGAGGAGAAAAUCCACAGGCCGACGGGAGAAGUGUUGUUAAGGAACUCGGCAAAAUGACCCCGUAACUUCGGGAUAAGGGGAGCCUACGCGAGUAGGCCGCAGAGAAUAGUCUCAAGCGACUGUUUAGCAAAAACACAGGUCUAUGCUAAAUCGAAAGAUGAUGUAUAUGGGCUGACGCCUGCCCGGUGCUGGAAGGUUAAGGGGAAGUGUUAGAGCAAUCGAAGCACUGAACUUAAGCCCCAGUAAACGGCGGCCGUAACUAUAACGGUCCUAAGGUAGCGAAAUUCCUUGUCAGGUAAGUUCUGACCCGC